Molecule: long non-coding RNA, 2607 nt
Organism: Xiphophorus hellerii (green swordtail)
Lineage: Eukaryota; Metazoa; Chordata; Actinopteri; Cyprinodontiformes; Poeciliidae
Exons: 3
Source: RefSeq, a predicted model, not a curated record
UUUUCUCCUUUGACAACCUGAUCCUGUGCUUGAAAAGUUGCUUUUUUUAAAAUUUGAUCUGUUUGGCAACACUGUGCCACGGGCCACUCUGCCUGAAGGGGGUACUUACAUAUUAAUAUCUGUCAUAUGUCGGAGUGCGAAGUGCCAACAAUGUGCAGAAGCUGCAGUUUUUUCAAAAUGCGAUAUUGUGAUCGCUGACCCUGCCGAGAGUCAUCCCAUUUUCAACAUUUUACAAAAUAACUUUUCCAAUUUUUUCACAUUGUAAUUCCAAACUUCAAGGCAAUGUGUUGGUGUUUUAUUUGAUCGAAUCACGCCAAACAAAAACAAGCAACUGCACCUUCUGCACAAUGUUUUUGGAUUCCUCUGCAUGGAGUAAAACACUCUUUCUCGUUGCUUAAUUUGACGUUUUAAAAAUAAAUUUGCCUCAUGACAAUACACCAGUUUUGAAAAAAAUUUUUUUUUCUGAUAAAACGUUUUGGCGCUACUAGGAUGAAGUUAUUGGGGGGUUUUUUUGGCCGUAUCGAAAUUGGUUUAUUUUGCAAAACUGCAACGGAAAAUUUUUUCCCGCAUAACACGAGUCAUGUGAUCGACAAGCGGACGUUCCCACUGCGCAAACCACGAAGAAGAAGAUGACAGGAAGUAGUCGGAGAAUCAUGGGCAUGUUUUCUACCGACUUACUUCAUGAACAAGCUUAUUCACGUGUGAUUUAAUGUCUUAUUUAAUGGAAACAUCACAAGUGUGAAAUUGCGUCUUUUUAACGUACUUCUUCAAAGCAGAGUGUAUGGAGGUAUCUACUGGGUCCUUUGCCAUACUUCAGGGAGUUUAUGAAACUGCAGUAUUGUUCAGAAAAGAAGUCCACAAAAUGUGAAGCCAGGCUCGUUGGAGGCUUGAUUUGAGAUCUUGAUUGGUUGCAAUAAAAAGCAAAAUGCAUUUGUAUCUGAAGCAGGCUGCCUCCCCAGUUUCCACCUGCUCACUAAUAAUUUCCACGCUACUGAUGUAACAGCCAGACAUACCUGCAGUUUGCCUGUUAGAGACACAGAGGCGGUCAACAAUGAUGAAAGGUUGAUAAAUAUGAGCCUGAUUAGGCCUAACAUGCAACCAUCUGGAAAUACUUUAAAAGUUUGACUUAUGGGACCACAAAACGCUCUGAGUAAUGAUGAGAAGUGACAGACAGUGAUGUAGUGGCUGAAGGGAGACUUUGAUAUCUGUCAGUAGGACUUACUUUAACUCACUAAAAUCCACAUCAAACAUCAUUAUGCACGUGGAAAAACGCAUCAGUAGCUGUGUUUCCAUUGCAAAUGUGCGCAUAUCUUUUGUCUAUGUUCUUCCAAUGUCGAGAAAACACAAUCUUGCAAUUGCCAUGUUUCCAUUGAAUAAGGAUUGAAAUUAAAAUCACAUGUAAAUAAGCUUAUUCACGUGACAAGACCUUGAAAAUCUUGGCAGCGACAGAUGUAAACGGUUACAUGUCAUGGCGCUAGCACUCAUUAGCCAAUCAGAAGAGACGUCAGUGUCUUCUUCAGGCUUUGGAGCGACAAGCCCCGCCUACUUGGGAGCGGCUACGUAUGCAGCAUUUUGGGGAAAUGAUAGUGGAUGAGUAGAGUUAUGGAUUCAACACAUUUGAAUGACACAAAACCUUUUAUGAACACUGUGAUGCUGUGAGAGCUGCGGUGGAGCCAGCUGCACAAAACAAAAACAAACCAUUCUCCUCCUACUUCCUGUCGUCUUCUUAAGCGUUUUUGACUGUAGUAACAUCCAGCUGUUGAUCGUGUGAGAAGUAUGAUGCGAAAAAGAAUUUCUAUUGCAGUUUUGCAAAAUACAUCUGUGUUGAUACGGCCAAAAAAGCACCUAAUCUCAGUAUAAAAACGUAUCAAAACACAUAGGAACAGGCAUUUGCUUUGAAUCUCAUUGAUAGUGAUAAAAACGUGGGAGCUGUCAGUUCGACUUCCCCCUCCGUCGUAGUCGUGUUUACAGUGGCUGGAGAGAAGCGUUGCUCUUGGCUGCAGCGCUGCCUGUAAUUGGCCGUCUGCAGUGAGGGUCACAGCUGCUUGGGUUCGGGGUUGGGGGGAGAGAAGUGUGUCUGGACCUCCAGACAGCUGGGACUAACUAGUGCUGUAUCAGGUGGUUGAGCCGAGGGGCCGGAUGAGCCCACGGGGGAUGUGGAUGCCUCUUUGAUGGGCCAUCACAAAGGAAACUGAACGACUCUCAGUAGCUCAGAUCCUCUUUUGGUUGCUUAUUUCAUGUCUUUGUUGUUGUUCUUCAUCUCCAUCAACGAAACACGGUAAAAGCAUCAGCUGUGUGUGUAGCUUAUACUCCAGUUGGAAGGGAAGUGACUGCAGAGCGCCGUCCAGUUGCUGAAAUGUUUGCUUAUCUAGUGAAAUACGUGUCAGGCAGGUUAAAUGGACGUCUUGAUCGCGGCACGAUCUGAUCUGUUAGCUCAUCUGCGCAUGUGCUGAAGAAAUACUUCUGGAUUAUUCCUAAAACAUACAUCAACAAAGUGUAACGUACUUAUGUAUUUAUUAUUUAUUGUAGUAUUUUGAUACUACAACAAGUAGUAUUACUUAUUUAAUACUACUCGGGAAACUUCUAGUGGCGAUGAGUGGAGUUAAA